Molecule: transfer RNA, 97 nt
Filed under: Thielaviopsis punctulata
Lineage: Eukaryota; Fungi; Ascomycota; Sordariomycetes; Microascales; Ceratocystidaceae
Description: Ceratocystis radicicola tRNA
Rfam family: tRNA
About the family: Transfer RNA (tRNA) molecules are approximately 80 nucleotides in length. Their secondary structure includes four short double-helical elements and three loops (D, anti-codon, and T loops).
Source: Rfam by way of RNAcentral
UCCUCCGUGGCGCAAUUGGCUAGCGCGUCUGACUGUUACGCUUUCCCUUAGGAUUGCAGCAAUCAGGAGGUUGACAGUUCAAGCCUGUCCGGGGGAG